AAGUCGUAACAAGGUUUCCGUAGGUGAACCUGCGGAAGGAUCAUUAUUUGAUCUAAAAUUGGAGGUAUUUUUUCAGCCUUGGCCGAAAUCUACCGCCUAUUUCCUUUUGUGAACUGUCUUGUACUGUUGUAUUUUUUUUUAAACUUUUUUUUUCCUUUUGGAAAAUAAAAUCUAAAGACAACUUUCAGCAAUGGAUCUCUUGGCUCUU
This 208-nucleotide unclassified non-coding RNA is filed under the name fungal sp. RNAcentral describes it as "partial internal transcribed spacer region". The stretch from base 1 to 46 matches the Rfam family "Eukaryotic small subunit ribosomal RNA", at positions 1786 to 1831 of the family's 1831-position model. Lineage: Eukaryota; Fungi. The record is from RNAcentral.